Non-coding RNA from Malus domestica (apple), 1781 nucleotides. The record is from RefSeq and is a predicted model, not a curated record. NCBI's taxonomy places the organism in Eukaryota, Viridiplantae, Streptophyta, Magnoliopsida, Rosales, Rosaceae.
AGGUUUGGGACGGAUUGGGAGGCUUUAGGUUUGUUGUCAUUCGGUGAGGGUUUCGAGGAUGGGAGGCUAUAUGCCGCCUCUGAGAUAGAUAGAGAGAGGGAGAGAGACACCGAGAGACAUAGAGAGCGAGAGAGGGACGGAGUGUGAAUGGGAGUGGGAGUGGGAGGUCUUGAGCGACAAACCCGAUUUUGUUCCAGAGAACUCUUCAACGACAAACCGAUUUUGCUCCAGAGCUCUUCAACGACAAAAUCGAUUCGGCGCCUCACCGUCGCACACCUCGCUGUCGCACUCCUUACAAAGUAUGAUGAUCUGAGCAUGGAUGAUACCGCGGCUGAUGCAAGUUUAACGAACUCAACUCUUUUUGGCUUGGACAGUCGCAGAGGCAUGGGCAAGCAUGCCGCGGAGUUGUCACUGAUGUUUAUAUGCAUAAAAAACCAAAAACUACACUUUCUUAAAUAGGCGAGAUUUGGUAAUGCAGUGUCACCUGGCUUUCUCACAAACGUUGAGAACCAUAGCAAGUGUUACUUGGUUUCGUUAUCAUUGUUGUAUUAACUCAAUUUCAACGCACUUGGCGAUGAAUUAACACGUCUGUAAGUUUUACGUAAUUUGCUGAUUCAAAUGUGCAAACCUUCUUUCUUUAUUCUAGGCAGUCUAGUGUUGGAUUUGGUCAGUUGCGUUGCGUAAACAGUUAAAGGAAUUCACCGAACGGUUGAGGCUCGCGGGCAAUGCAGCUCCUAAGUUGGGAUGGAUUGUGCCAUGUCCCCCUUUAUAAGAAUGAUAAAUAAAAGGAUCAAGUACCUGAAACUCUCUAACCUUUUAGUGUCAUUCCUUGAUCCCAACCUUUUUAAACAUUCCAAACAAGUACAUAUGGCCCUCUCAUCGAUGGACUUUUCAAGUCGGGAAGACUAGAUUAAGCAAUGCAAUCCUUUGAGGAGAUGGCAGACUAUGGAUGCAAACCGAAUUCUGCUAUUUGUAAUGUUCUUAUAAAAGGUUUUGCAGAAACAGGUGAUGUGGAAGCUGCGUGCGAGUUGUUUAGAAGAAUGAUUAAGAAGGAAUACGACCGGACCUGAAGUCCGGCACCAUUCUUGUAGAAUGCCUCUGCCAGGCGGGGAGAGUAGUUGAUGUUGUGGACCAUUUUGAGGAGUUGAAACAAAGUGGCCUCGAUCCUGACUCAGUUUCUUACCAUUUUUAUGAUAAAUGGACUUGGAAGAUCACGGAGGGUAGAGGAAGCGCUCGCACUUUAUGAUGAAAUGCGGACUAGAGGAAUUGCUCCUGAUCUUUACACAUACAAUUCGUUCACACCAAAUCUUGGACUUGCUGGAAUGGUGGAGCAAGCAGGGAGGAUUUAUGAACAACUACAACUUGUUGGUCUUGAACCUGAUGUGUUUACCUACAAUGCUCUCAUUCCACUGUACGGCACAUCCGGAGAUCCAGACCAUGCUAAUGCAGUUUACAAGAACAUGAUGGUUGGCGGUUGCAGCCCAAUGUAGGAACAUUUGCUCAGCUUCCCAUUCAAACUUGACUUCCAAGAGACACAUCUGACCCAUCUCUAUAUCUGAGGCGACAACUCAACACGUACAAAUUCAUUUUUCCGCUGUUGAUGUUUGCUUCUGAGCGUAGAUGUGUAUCUGAGGAAGUAACAUGUAUUGGAUAUUAUCUUUGACUCCCGUAUCUUUGUACGGUUUCGUUAACAUAUGUGUGUAAAUGCUGUAUCUAUUUACCUCUUUCACACCUGUUAUUAAACGGAGCUACUGCGUACGUAAUCGAUCAAAUAUUGAGUA